AUGAUUCUGGACGACGGAGGUGACCUCACCAACCUCAUCCACACCAAGUACCCACAGCUCCUGCUGGGCAUCCGAGGCAUCUCUGAGGAGACCACAACUGGGGUCCACAACCUCUACAAGAUGAUGGUCAAUGGGAUCCUGAAGGUGCCUGCCAUCAACGUUAAUGACUGUCACCCAGAGCAAGUUUGACAACCUCUAUGGCUGUCGGGAGUCCCUCAUAGAUGGUAUCAAGCGAGCCACUGAUGUGAUGAUUGCCGUCAAGGUAGCAGUGGUAGCAGGUUAUGGCGAUGUGGGCAAGGGCUGUGCCCAGGCCCUGCGGGGUUUCAGGGCCCACGUCAUCAUCACCAAGACUGACCCCAUCAAGGCACUGCAGGCCGCCAUGGAGGGCUAUGAGGUGACCACCAUGGAUGAGGCCUGUCAGGAGGGCAAUAUCUUCGUCACUACCACAGGCUGUGUUGACAUCAUCCUUGGCCACCACUUUGAGCAAAUGAAGGAUGAUGCCAUCGUGUGUAACAUUGGACACUUUGAUGUGGAGGUCAAUGUCAAGUGGCUCAACGGGAAUGUUGUGGAGAAGGUGAACAUCAAGCCGCAGGUGGAACAGUACUGGCUGAAGAAUGGGCGCCACAUCAUCCUGCUGGCAGAGGGUCGGCUGGUCAAUCUGGGUUGUGCCAUGGGCCACCCCAGCUUCGUGAUGAGUAACUCCUUCACCAACCAGGUGAUGGCUCAGAUCGAGCUGUGGACUCACCCUGACAAGUACCCUGUUGGGGUUCACUUCCUGCCCAAGAAGCUGGAUGAGGCAGUGAUUGAAGCCCACCUGGGCAAGCUGAACAUGAAGUUGACCAAGCUGAAAGAGAAGCAGGCUCAGUACCUGGGCAUGUCCCGUAAUGGCCCCUUCAAGUUGGAUCACUACCGCUACUGAGAGCCAGGUCUGUGCUUUGCCUUCCAGCUGCUGUCCUUGCCCAGGCCCCACCUCUCCUCCCUAAGAGUAAAUGGCACCAACUUUGUGAUUGGUUUGUCAUUGUCCCCCAUGGACUCUCUGGGGCUGGUCACUCAAUUUUUGGCCUCUGCUGCAGCCCUCAUACUGUUCCAGGUGUGGCAGUGGGAACUGAGAGGGCCCUCCUCAAGCCCUGGUCAUGAUGGAGGUGCCAGCCAUGAGAACCAUGAGCUCAGUGGUCUUGGAGCUGCUCACCUUCCUUAGCCUUGAAGUCAGCAGUGGAGUCACAAAGCCCAUGUAUAUUUUGCCAUCUAGGCCUUCACCUGGUCUGUGGGCUUAGACCUGUGUGCUUGGUUUACAGGUCCAGUGGUUCCUAAGUGCAUGACAGAUAGAUGAGAGAGAAGUAUAUUGAAGGGCAAAGAGGAACUGUUGUUUGAAUUUUCCUCAGGGCCUGGCUUAGUGCUGGGCCUUCUCUUAAACCUCAUAACAAUGAGGUUAGUACUUUUGUUUUACAGGGGUUAGAAUUAACUGUUAAGAGGCAACUGAGAAAGAACAGAAAAGUGACAGUUGGAGGUUGAAAGGGGCCAGAAAAACAUAAAAGCAGGCAUAGCUCUGCCACCACUUUGUAACCAGAUGGUUUCUAUCACAACCCUGCGUC
This is a non-coding RNA of Callithrix jacchus (white-tufted-ear marmoset), 1592 nucleotides long. The record is from RefSeq and is a predicted model, not a curated record. NCBI's taxonomy places the organism in Eukaryota, Metazoa, Chordata, Mammalia, Primates, Cebidae.